AAUCUAUCAAGUCUGUGAUAAAACCAGCCAGAUAUCAGAGUGUCUCUUGGGCGGCAGCGGAAAGCCCAGAGUUGGAGGAGGUCACCUGAGCCAAUCAAAGAAAAACUUCAGUCACAACACCACCUCCCUCCCUCAACUUGGUGGCCUCCCAAGUCAACAGAGGACGGCGGGACUCCCUCCAAGAAGCAAGAGUUUGCCUGAGCACCCUGCAGAGGCCGAUGAUUUCAGACUUUCGCUGAUAGCUAAACUUUAUGGCCACAGUGGGUGAGGAUGAACUUUGCCUCUGACCUGGAUCCACAAUUCUGAGUUUUCUUUUUAAAAAGAAAGAAAUGCAGCUGCAAUAAUAUUCAAGGGGGGGAAAUCAGACUCGUUUCUCCCAUUCUCUAUUCAUUUUGCAAAGGAAAAUAAAGCUACUGAGGAGGAGGAGGCCUUGCCUCUGUGCAGAGCAGAGUCCCACCAAUGAGACGGGAUGGCCGAGUUUCACCUCGGAAGCC
Molecule: long non-coding RNA, 494 nt
Organism: Podarcis raffonei (Aeolian wall lizard)
Lineage: Eukaryota; Metazoa; Chordata; Lepidosauria; Squamata; Lacertidae
Exons: 3
Source: RefSeq, a predicted model, not a curated record